This is a non-coding RNA of Caerostris darwini, 73 nucleotides long. NCBI's taxonomy places the organism in Eukaryota, Metazoa, Arthropoda, Arachnida, Araneae, Araneidae. The record is from the annotation of a GenBank genome assembly.
CUCGUUAGAUCACCGAAGUUAAGCAUCAUUGGGCGCGGUCAGUACUUGGGUGGGUGACCACCUAGGAACAACA